GAAUAUUGGACAAUGGGCGAAAGCCUGAUCCAGCCAUGCCGCGUGAGUGAUGAAGGCCCUAGGGUUGUAAAGCUCUUACGCAGGUGAAGAUAAUGACGGUAACCUGAGAAGAAGCCCCGGCUAACUUCGUGCCAGCAGCCGCGGUAAUACGAAGGGGGCUAGCGUUGUUCGGAAUUACUGGGCGUAAAGCGCACGUAGGCGGACUAUUAAGUCAGGGGUGAAAUCCCGGGGCUCAACCCCGGAACUGCCUUUGAUACUGGUAGUCUCGAGUGCGAGAGAGGUGAGUGGAAGUCCGAGUGUAGAGGUGAAAUUCGUAGAUAUUCGGAGGAACACCAGUGGCGAAGGCGGCUCACUGGCUCGGUACUGACGCUGAGGUGCGAAAGCGUGGGGAGCAAACAGG
This 400-nucleotide ribosomal RNA is filed under the name uncultured bacterium. RNAcentral describes it as "bacterial SSU rRNA". It matches the Rfam family "Bacterial small subunit ribosomal RNA", at positions 359 to 776 of the family's 1533-position model. The record is from RNAcentral.